UACAGAGGCCUCGAGCGUUAUCCGGAAUCACUGGGCGUAAAGGGUGUGUAGGUGGUUCUGUUAGUCUUGUGUUAAAUCUCUCCGCUUAACGGGGAAGUCGCAUAAGAAACGGCAGAACUAGAGGAUGUAAGAGGUGCACGGAACUCAUGGUGUAGGGGUGAAAUCCGUUGAUAUCAUGGGGAACACCGAAUGCGAAGGCAGUGCACUGGUGCACUCCUGACACUGAAACACGAAAGCUAGGGGAGCGAACGGG
This 253-nucleotide unclassified non-coding RNA is filed under the name uncultured Parcubacteria group bacterium. Its description in RNAcentral is "contains 16S-23S intergenic spacer region". It matches the Rfam family "Bacterial small subunit ribosomal RNA", at positions 524 to 776 of the family's 1533-position model. The record is from RNAcentral.